AUUGAACGCUGGCGGCAGGCCUAACACAUGCAAGUCGAACGAGUGGUGGACGGGUGAGUAAUGUCGGGGAAACUGCCUGAGGGAGGGGGAUAACUACUGGAAAGGGUAGCUAACACCGAAUACCAUGAGAUGUGCCGAGAGGGGAUGAGCUAGUUGGUGGGGUAAGUGUUCACCAAGGAUACGAGCCCUAGCUGGUUUGAGGGGAUGACCAGCCACACUGGAACGAAGACACGGUCCAGACUCCUACGUGAGGCAGCGGUGGGGAAUAUUGCGCAAUGGGCGCAAGCCUGAUGCAGCCAGGCCGCGUGUAUGACGAGGGCCUUCGGGUUGUAAAGUUCUUUCAGCGGGGAGGCGUUACCCGCAGAAGAAGCACCGGCUAACUCCGUGCCAGCAGCCGCGGUAAUAC
RNAcentral lists this ribosomal RNA (406 nucleotides) under uncultured bacterium. RNAcentral describes it as "partial 16S ribosomal RNA". It matches the Rfam family "Bacterial small subunit ribosomal RNA", at positions 29 to 526 of the family's 1533-position model. The record is from RNAcentral.